CCUACGGGAGGCAGCAGUGAGGAAUAUUGGUCAAUGGGCGCGAGCCUGAACCAGCCAAGUCGCGUGAGGGAGGACGGCCCUACGGGUUGUAAACCUCUUUUGCCGGGGAGCAACGGGCGCCACGUGUGGCGUCACUCAGAGUACCCUGAGACAAAGCAUCGGCUAACUCCGUGCCAGCAGCCGCGUUAAUACGGAGGAUGCGAGCGUUAUCCGUAUUUAUUGGUUUUACAGGGUGCGUAGGCGGAUCGUUAAGUCAGGGGUCAAAUUGAGGGGCUCAACCCCUUCCCGCCAUUGAAACUGGCGGUCUUGAGUUGAAGAGAAGUAUGCGGAAUGCGUGGUGUAGCGGUGAAAUGCAUAGAUAUCACGAAGAACCACGAUUGCGAAGGCAGCAUGCCGGCUUCCGACUGACGCUGAAGCACGAAAGCGUGGGGAUCGAACAGGAUUAGAUACCCUUGUAGUC
Molecule: ribosomal RNA, 460 nt
Filed under: uncultured bacterium
Lineage: Bacteria
Description: partial 16S ribosomal RNA
Rfam family: Bacterial small subunit ribosomal RNA
Source: RNAcentral